UACGGGGGGGGUAAGCGUUGUUCGGAAUUACUGGGCGUAAAGGGCUCGUAGGCGGCCAACUAAGUCGGACGUGAAAUCCCUCAGCUUAACUGGGGAACUGCGUCUGAUACUGGAUGGCUUGGAUUUGGGAGAGGGAUGCGGAAUUCCAGGUGUAGCGGUGAAAUGCGUAGAUAUCUGGAGGAACACCGGUGGCGAAGGCGGCAUCCUGGACCAAUUCUGACGCUGAGGAGCGAAAGCCAGGGGAGCAAACGGG
This 253-nucleotide ribosomal RNA is filed under the name uncultured bacterium. RNAcentral's name for it is "partial 16S ribosomal RNA". It matches the Rfam family "Bacterial small subunit ribosomal RNA", at positions 524 to 776 of the family's 1533-position model. The record is from RNAcentral.